AUUGAACGCUGGCGGCAUGCUUUACACAUGCAAGUCGAACGGCAGCGCGGGCUUCGGCCUGGCGGCGAGUGGCGAACGGGUGAGUAAUGCAUCGGAACGUGCCCAGUAGUGGGGGAUAGCCCGGCGAAAGCCGGAUUAAUACCGCAUACGACCUGAGGGUGAAAGCGGGGGACCGAAAGGCCUCGCGCUAUUGGAGCGGCCGAUGCCGGAUUAGCUAGUUGGUGGGGUAAAGGCUUACCAAGGCGACGAUCCGUAGCUGGUCUGAGAGGACGACCAGCCACACUGGAACUGAGACACGGCCCAGACUCCUACGGGAGGCAGCAGUGGGGAAUUUUGGACAAUGGGGGCAACCCUGAUCCAGCCAUGCCGCGUGCGGGAAGAAGGCCUUCGGGUUGUAGACCGCUUUUGUUCGGGAAGAAAUCCUCUGGGCUAAUACCCCGGGGGGAUGACGGUACCGGAAGAAUAAGCACCGGCUAACUACGUG
This 484-nucleotide ribosomal RNA is filed under the name uncultured bacterium. RNAcentral's name for it is "partial 16S ribosomal RNA". It matches the Rfam family "Bacterial small subunit ribosomal RNA", at positions 28 to 507 of the family's 1533-position model. The record is from RNAcentral.